AACCACCCUUGUUUCAGCUGCUGCA
This 25-nucleotide non-coding RNA is filed under the name Mus musculus (house mouse). The record is from RNAcentral. Lineage: Eukaryota; Metazoa; Chordata; Mammalia; Rodentia; Muridae.